Long non-coding RNA from Mangifera indica (mango), 905 nucleotides. RefSeq lists it as uncharacterized. The record is from RefSeq and is a predicted model, not a curated record. NCBI's taxonomy places the organism in Eukaryota, Viridiplantae, Streptophyta, Magnoliopsida, Sapindales, Anacardiaceae. The transcript is spliced from 2 exons.
UUCAAUCGACUCUUACUUGUAGCCAUAGUCCAUGGAUCUCUGCUUACUUGAAAAACACAAAAUUCACAUAAGCGAAAACAAAAAGAAAAAACAAUAGCAACGUCGAAAUGGCGGGAGGAGGAGGUGCUGCGGCCCAGCAGGCAGACACGGAGAUGGCAGAGGCGCCAUCGGACCCUCAGCAGCCACCGGCGGCUGCUCAGGCGGCGGGGAUCGAGAACAUCCCGGCUGCGUUGAGCCAUGGGGGAUAAUUUAUUCAGUACAACAUAUUUGGGAAGAUAUUUGAAGUGACGGCAAAGUAUAAGCCACCUAUUCUGCCCAUCGGAAAGGGUGCAUACGGCAUCGUUUGGUACUUUGGCAUCAAAAUAUGAAAAGCUUGGAGGUGAAGUGACAUUGAUGGACAAACUUGAUAAGGUCACUCGAUCUCUUAGUCUUAUUCUAAUUAGUAAAAUUGUUCACUUAUAUUUUUUUUAUGUAUAUCAUCAGUACAUGUGCAGUUGACUUUGCUUUUACACCUUUCUAAUAUUUCAUAAGAUAAUAUAUAAAUCAGUGAUAAACACGGUCGGUGUUGCUACUAGCAACUCCAUUGCUGUGGGUGAUUCCCUUUACCAUGAUAUUAAGGGAGCCAAUGCAGCUGGAAUCCAGUCAGUAUUUACCAUUGGAGGAAUCCAUGCAAAUGAACUUGGACUAGGCAGUCUCAGAGGAGUUGCGGAUUUAUCUUCUAUCCAAAACUCUUUUAUCAAAAUAUGAUGCGUAUCCAUCAUGUGUUGCCGACAUUCAUAUGGUAAAAUCUUAUCAAGGUAAGUACGGAUUUAGUCACUAUAUUUCCGAACUUGCUUGUCUGUAGUAAAUAUAGUUGAUAUGGACCUAUAUCUAAAACUCAGUAAUGAAGGAUAGAAUCUGAAACA